This 374-nucleotide ribosomal RNA is filed under the name uncultured bacterium. RNAcentral's name for it is "bacterial SSU rRNA". It matches the Rfam family "Bacterial small subunit ribosomal RNA", at positions 523 to 898 of the family's 1533-position model. The record is from RNAcentral.
AUACGGAGGGUGCAAGCGUUAUCCGGAAUCACUGGGUUUAAAGGGUGCGUAGGCGGGAAAUUAAGUCAGUGGUGAAAUCCUGUCGCUUAACGAUAGAACUGCCAUUGAUACUGAUUUUCUUGAAUUGGGUUGAGGUUAGCGGAAUGUGACAUGUAGCGGUGAAAUGCAUAGAUAUGUCAUGGAACACCAAUUGCGAAGGCAGCUAACUGGGCCUUGAUUGACGCUGAGGCACGAAAGCGUGGGUAGCGAACAGGAUUAGAUACCCUGGUAGUCCACGCCCUAAACGAUGCUAACUCGAUGUUUGGACGUAAAGUUUGAGCAUCCAAGGGAAACCGAUAAGUUAGCCACCUGGGGAGUACGACCGCAAGGUUGAA